AUGAAGGCUGGGCAACUGAGGAGAGGGGUCGCCAUCAUGCAAAGGCAUAGCAAACUAUGUGUCUCCACAUCCACCUGCAUGUUCGGGCUCCAAGAUUGGGCAGACCUCCCGAAGGAUCUGUUGCAAUCAGUAUUCUCUCGCUUAGGCUCGAUCCUUGACCUUCUCGCCUUUGUUGCAACCUGCCGUUCUUGGCGGGUUGCAUUAACUUCAUACUCAUCCAAAUCCACCUUAUGCACUUUAUUCCCGCCUCUCCUCAUCCAACCCAACAUUCGUGUCCAUGUUCCUCAUCCUCCAUGUAACAAUGGUCAUCGCCACUUACAGGCAUAUAAAGUUAUCGAUCCAGCCAAGCAAAGUGCCACCGGCCUUCACUGCCAUAUUGAUGAAGAAAUUUUGCAGACGAUGCGUUGUGCUGGCCCUUCAUAUGGUCAACUCAUCUUCUACAACCGUGGACAUUGCGUUGUUGUUAUUCCUUUUAGAGGUACCAAGGUUUCACCUCCACGUCUCCCAUUGUGUGAUGACUAUAGGAAGCUCAACUGGUCUGAUAUUCCAUUCAAUCAAAAAAUCAUGGAGCUCCAACAACUAGUUACAGAGUCUUACUGCAGCGCCAUUCUAACAGCUCCCCUUGCAUCACCAAACUCGCAUAUGCUUGUUAGCACCGGCCUCUCCUUAUUUAGUUGGCCGGUUGGAAGUGAUACUUGGUCUGAACUCCAGUGUUCUGGUGUACAAAUAAUUCAGAUUGUGGAAUUCAACGGCCAAUUCAUUGCCAUGGACCUUCGUCAACAGAUAUACACUUUGGAGGUGGCCCCCAAGCUUAGACUGCAGGAGAUAACCACUAACCACCCCCCUGACUUGACCAAGAGCUCCCAAGACCCGUCUAAAACAUCAUGGCUAGUGGUCUGCGGUGACAUGCUUCUGAUGUUGGUCCAUUCUUGCACGAGUAUUCACUACAAUGCCAGUGUGCCAUUUGUCCGCACGGUCCAUUACCUUGACAUGUCAACCAAGCCUGCAAAAUGGGUGGAUAUGGAAAAGCUGGACAAUUGGGCCAUCUUCACGGGGAGUGAUAUCAGGAGUACAUCAUUUUCUUGCAUGAACCCAGAACAUUGGGGAGGAAGGAGCAAAUGUCUAUAUGUUGCUCGUUCCCCUAAACCUUGGAGUGAAUAUGGGUUAGGCAAUGAGCCAGAUCCAUCUGUUGAUCCUGUUCAUCAGCACUUCAGGAUCUGGUGCCACCUGAUGCAACCCCUUUGGGUGUACCCGAGCAUGCUCUAUUCGGAUGGCCCUUGA
Molecule: ribosomal RNA, 1281 nt
Filed under: Triticum aestivum (bread wheat)
Lineage: Eukaryota; Viridiplantae; Streptophyta; Magnoliopsida; Poales; Poaceae
Description: partial small subunit ribosomal RNA
Source: RNAcentral